UUUCCGUAGGUGAACCUGCGGAAGGAUCAUUAUCAUGUAAUUCAGUCCCCUUGGCUGUGUUAUAUAUAUACCCACUCUGUGUACCUUCUCCUGUUGCUUCCGCUGGGUGUGUAAUUCGCCCGGCGGAAGGGUAAAAAUAACCUCUGAGUAUUGAUGAAAUCUCUGUCUGAACCGAAUAGAAAGAAAAAUGUUACAACUUUCAACAACGGAUCUCUUGGCUCUC
RNAcentral lists this unclassified non-coding RNA (223 nucleotides) under plant metagenome. RNAcentral describes it as "partial contains small subunit ribosomal RNA, internal transcribed spacer 1, and 5.8S ribosomal RNA". The record is from RNAcentral.